AAAAUACGAAACUACGAUUUAACUUGUAACACUGACUCGACUUCCUCAAGGUCGUUGGGAAGAAGCUGAACGAUGUGGUAUGAUGUUAUACCAAGUGGCGGGGUUUUACUCGGACUGAUGGCAUCAACGUUCGCAGUACCUCCAAUUGUCGCAUGGGUCGUCCGCAGUAAUAGAAAGUAUCCACGCCGUUACUUCCAUGGGUCUGAAGUUGACUACAGGCUGUAUGUGCGGGACAUCUAUAAAUUUGGUUCUGUAUACAAACCACAGGGACUGGAAGCUUUGGACAAAGCAUAGGGAAAGGAUGUAACAUGUCAUUGAUGGACAGCAUUUGUACGACUUUGUUUUAACUGUUUUUACUUAAAAUGUGCCUAGAGAGGUUUAAUUCUGUUUAGUAUUUACAAGAUGGCUGAAUGACAUUUAACUCCAAGAAAAUAAGUUAAAAACAAGGUUUCUUCCUUAUUGGACUUAUCACAGUUUGAAACAUUUGUGAUGGAGAGAAAACAUCUGUGUGAUUAUAUCAAAACUUGUACUUCAAAUGGACAGAUUGUUGGAUUGCUCUAAUUGGACUAAACUCUUGUAAUGGAUUGUGUGAAUGGAUUCUGUCGUGCUUCAUACCACUGCUGAUGAAAUUCAACAGGAUAUAGCAGCUGAUAUACUUGUUUAGGCAUCAGUCUUUUCUCAUUUUAAAGGAAAACUUGAAAAUGAUGACAGAGAUAUCGACUUGUGAUAAAUAAAAUAGUUCUAUUCAAGGAUGUACUGC
Molecule: long non-coding RNA, 760 nt
Organism: Pecten maximus
Lineage: Eukaryota; Metazoa; Mollusca; Bivalvia; Pectinida; Pectinidae
Exons: 3
Source: RefSeq, a predicted model, not a curated record